RNAcentral lists this non-coding RNA (24 nucleotides) under Arabidopsis thaliana (thale cress). The record is from RNAcentral. Lineage: Eukaryota; Viridiplantae; Streptophyta; Magnoliopsida; Brassicales; Brassicaceae.
UUCCAGAGCAAGCCAAGGCCACCA